This is a non-coding RNA of Pelobates cultripes (western spadefoot toad), 168 nucleotides long. NCBI's taxonomy places the organism in Eukaryota, Metazoa, Chordata, Amphibia, Anura, Pelobatidae. The record is from the annotation of a GenBank genome assembly.
CUCAGCAUGGACUUUACCUUGGUUUCAAUAAUGACUGCUGCACUUUAACUAUAUAAUAUAUAUAUUAUAUAGUAAAUAUAUAUAUUUAUAUUUUAAAUAUAUAUAUUUUAAUAUAUAUAUUAAAAGUGCAGAAGUCAUUAUUGAAACCAAGGUAAAAUCCAUGCUGAG